Molecule: ribosomal RNA, 462 nt
Filed under: uncultured Desulfobulbus sp.
Lineage: Bacteria; Pseudomonadati; Thermodesulfobacteriota; Desulfobulbia; Desulfobulbales; Desulfobulbaceae
Description: bacterial SSU rRNA
Rfam family: Bacterial small subunit ribosomal RNA
Source: RNAcentral
ACAAGCGGUGGAGUAUGUGGUUUAAUUCGAUGCAACGCGAAGAACCUUACCUGGUCUUGACAUCCCGGAGACCCUUAGGAAACUAGGGGUGCUUCCAUCUGGAAGAAUCUGGAGACAGGUGCUGCAUGGCUGUCGUCAGCUCGUGUCGUGAGAUGUUGGGUUAAGUCCCGCAACGAGCGCAACCCUUGCCUUUAGUUGCCAGCAGUUCGGCUGGGCACUCUAAAGGGACUGCCGGUGUUAAACCGGAGGAAGGUGGGGAUGACGUCAAGUCCUCAUGGCCUUUAUGACCAGGGCUACACACGUACUACAAUGGCCGAUACAAAGGGCAGCGACACUGUGAGGUGAAGCCAAUCCCGUAAAAUCGGUCUCAGUCCGGAUUGGAGUCUGCAACUCGACUCCAUGAAGUUGGAAUCGCUAGUAAUCGUGGAUCAGCAUGCCACGGUGAAUACGUUCCCGGGCCUU